Molecule: ribosomal RNA, 460 nt
Filed under: uncultured bacterium
Lineage: Bacteria
Description: partial 16S ribosomal RNA
Rfam family: Bacterial small subunit ribosomal RNA
Source: RNAcentral
CCUACGGGAGGCAGCAGUGAGGAAUAUUGGUCAAUGGACGCAAGUCUGAACCAGCCAAGCCGCGUGAGGGAAGAAGGUUCUAUGUAUCGUAAACCGCUUUUGUAAGGGGACAAACGCUGGGACGCGUCCCUGUCUGAAUGUACCUUACGAAUAAGGAUCGGCUAACUCCGUGCCAGCAGCCGCGGUAAUACGGAGGAUUCAAGCGUUAUCCGGAUUUAUUGGGUUUAAAGGGUGCGUAGGCGGUCGGUUAAGUCAGCGGUGAAAUCCCGGGGCUCAACUUCGGAAUUGCCGCUGAUACUGGUAGGCUAGAGAGUAGUUGCGGUAGGCGGAAUGUACGGUGUAGCGGUGAAAUGCUGAGAGAUCAUACAGAACACCGAUUGCGAAGGCAGCUUGCCAAGCUACGUCUGACGUUGAGGCACGAAAGCGUGGGGAUCAAACAGGAUUAGAUACCCGGGUAGUC